Molecule: long non-coding RNA, 1206 nt
Filed under: Orbicella faveolata
Lineage: Eukaryota; Metazoa; Cnidaria; Anthozoa; Scleractinia; Merulinidae
Description: uncharacterized LOC110059463
Source: RNAcentral
UUUCCUAGGUAAGUGCCUUAAAACACCUCACGAGGUCAUUAUAAUAUACAUAAAUGCAGUCUUCCGACGGCUAAAAAUAGGCAAGCAUCGUUAAUGGCAGUGUUAAAUAUUAACUUUUCCUGAUAAUGCAAAAUGAAAAAUUCCUCCUUUAAUCCCACGCUCUUUUAACAAAGUCAGUCUAUUGCACAGGUAUUAGAAUGGCUCUUGUUGCAGAUGUGCUGUGCAGGAAACAUCCACUUGUGCAAAGCACACCUUUGGAAAUUACACGAGUCUAAAGCAACUCUUUCAAUCACUAGAACCAAAAUUCAGUUUUCCUUGGAAUUCAUCACGGAAAAACACUUGCAGUUCGCUUGCAGUACAGAACAAUGCACAAACACCUCAAACGAAACCUUUCUUCAGCGCUUCAAGAUUUGUUCCGUUUCGAAAAUAUAUUUAUCAUGACAAUAGAUUCUUUUGUUUGCAAAAAAAAAACUAUCUACCACUAAGUAUGUUUAGAACUUGCACCAAUAAGUAUGAAACGAACUCUGACAAUCUAUAAGAGGAAUAUUUUUAGCAAAUUUGCUAAUCUUUCUAUUUUUUAAAAGUAUAUCAAGGGUUUUAUAUUGAAGGUUGAAUCCGAAGAAAGUAAACCAUCGUCGACUGGAGAGAAUUUCAAUUCAACGAUAUCUGUCCAAAGGAACGCAAAGAACUUCAAAAUGGUCAAUGCUCUAAAGCUGGUCGCCGAUAUUUUUACGCUCACUGGGUGCUUGGUGUUAUUGUUUGGUUCCAUUGGAUAUGUUGGCGCCAGACCUCAAAGCCCUAAGCCAUCUUCUGUCACCUGCAGUACCAUAACGGCAGAAAUCGAAGCACAACAACAGUUUAAUGUGACAUGCAAGCCAUGUACAGAAAGCGUCAGAACUGUCACUGUCUGUGGCAUACCCUUUGUUUAUCAUGUUUGCAAGAAAACGCCGAAAUGUGAACCGGAGCCGUACGCAUUCGAUUUUUCAAAGUGCGCGGGAAAGAAUUUACGCUGCCUUUUUGCUACCGGUUGUAAAAGUGUAUAAGUAGAUGAAUUUUUAAAUGAAUGUGAAGAUGGCAGAAUGACAACUAUUGUAAGAAGCCAAUGACGGCACAAAUGAAAAAUAUUUAUUAGAAACUAGGUUAAACAUGUAAAUCUGCACCAGAUUACCUAGCAAGAAAUAAAUAAUAUACUAUUCUGUAAGUGUA